RNAcentral lists this ribosomal RNA (440 nucleotides) under uncultured bacterium. RNAcentral's name for it is "partial 16S ribosomal RNA". It matches the Rfam family "Bacterial small subunit ribosomal RNA", at positions 338 to 795 of the family's 1533-position model. The record is from RNAcentral.
CCUACGGGGGGCAGCAGUGGGGAAUAUUGGGCAAUGGGCGCAAGCCUGGCCCAGCAACGCCGCGUGAAGGAAGAAGGCUUUCGGGUUGUAAAGCUCUGUCAGCAGGGAAGAAAAUGACGGUACCUGACCAAGAAGCCCCGGCUAACUACGUGCCAGCAGCCGCGGUAAUACGUAGGGGGCAAGCGUUAUCCGGAUUUACUGGGUGUAAGGGGAGCGUAGACGGCAGGGCAAGUCUGGAGUGAAAGGCGGGGGCUCAACCCCCGGACUGCUCUGGAAACUGCCAGGCUGGAGUGCAGGAGGGGCAGGCGGAAUUCCUGGUGUAGCGGUGAAAUGCGUAGAUAUCAGGAGGAACACCGGUGGCGAAGGCGGCCUGCUGGACUGCGACUGACGUUGAGGCCCGAAAGCGUGGGGAGCAAACAGGAUUAGAUACCCCGGUAGUC